GACGAACGCUGGCGGCGUGCUUAACACAUGCGAGUCGAACGGAAAGGCCCUGCUUUUGUGGGGUGCUCGAGUGGCGAACGGGUGAGUAACACGUGAGUAACCUGCCCUUGACUUUGGGAUAACUUCAGGAAACUGGGGCUAAUACCGGAUAGGAGCCCCUGCUGCAUGGAGGGGGUUGGAAAGUUUCGGCGGUUGGGGAUGGACUCGCGGCUUAUCAGCUUGUUGGUGGGGUAGUGGCUUACCAAGGCUUUGACGGGUAGCCGGCCUGAGAGGGUGACCGGCCACAUUGGGACUGCGAUACGGCCCAGACUCCUACGGGAGGCAGCAGUGGGGAAUAUUGCACAAUGGGCGGAAGCCUGAUGCAGCAACGCCGCGUGCGGGAUGACGGCCUUCGGGUUGUAAACCGCUUUCGCCUGUGACGAAGCGUGAGUGACGGUAAUGGGUAAAGAAGCACCGGCUAACUACGUG
Molecule: ribosomal RNA, 468 nt
Filed under: uncultured bacterium
Lineage: Bacteria
Description: partial 16S ribosomal RNA
Rfam family: Bacterial small subunit ribosomal RNA
Source: RNAcentral